Long non-coding RNA from Oncorhynchus tshawytscha (Chinook salmon), 2777 nucleotides. The record is from Ensembl. Lineage: Eukaryota; Metazoa; Chordata; Actinopteri; Salmoniformes; Salmonidae.
AGCUACUAGAGGAAGGAGUCAGCUACUAGAGGAAGGAGUCAGCUACUAGAGGAAGGAGUCAGCUACUAGAGGAAGGAGUCAGCUACUAGAGGAAGGAGCCAGCUACUAGAGGAAGGAGUCAGCUACUAGAGGAAGGAGUCAGCUACUAGAGGAAGGAGUCAGCUACUAGAGGAAGGAGUCAGCUACUAGAGGAAGGGUCAGCUACUAGAGGAAGGAGCCAGCUACUAGAGGAAGGAGUCAGCUACUAGAGGAAGGAGUCAGCUACUAGAGGAAGGAGUCAGCUACUAGAGGAAGGAGUCAGCUACUAGAGGAAGGAGUCAGCUACUAGAGGAAGGAGUCAGCUACUAGAGGAAGGAGUCAGCUACUAGAGGAAGGAGUCAGCUACUAGAGGAAGGAGUCAGCUACUAGAGGAAGGAGUCAGCUACUAGAGGAAGGAGCCAGCUACUAGAGGAAGGAGUCAGCUACUAGAGGAAGGAGUCAGCUACUAGAGGAAGGAGUCAGCUACUAGAGGAAGGAGCCAGGUCCUGUUCUGAAGGAGCCAGGUCCUGUUCGGAAGGAGUCAGCUACUAGAGGAAGGAGUCAGCUACUAGAGGAAGGAGCCAGGUCCUGUUCGGAAGGAGUCAGCUACUAGAGGAAGGAGUCAGCUACUAGAGGAAGGAGCCAGGUCCUGUUCGGAAGGAGCCAGGUCCUGUUCGGAAGGAGUCAGCUACUAGAGGAAGGAGUCAGCUACUAGAGGAAGGAGCCAGGUCCUGUUCGGAAGGAGCCAGCUACUAGAGGAACAUACAGGACAUCAUGGUGGAGAGAAAACCCCUGCUUCUGCUGCUGUUACUCUGUAUCUACACCUCCUCUGCCUACCCUGUAAGACAGACAGGACCACCUCUACCUAUCGGUGGCUGGACUGGGUUUUAUCCCAUAACCUUGCCUGACCACACAGGAGCACUGAGGACUGUCCUCUACCCUUUGACUGUAUACAACCACAACCUUCCAACACAGCCUGCCAUUGGCCAGAAUCCUGUAUCGGUGCCUGCCAUUGGCCAGAAUCCUGUAUCGGUGCCUGCCAUUGGCUGGAAUCCUCUUCUACGUUCUGUAUCGGAGCCUUUGAUUGGUCAAAAUCCUCUAUCAGUGCAUGUGAUUGGACAGGAGAUGACUGUGUUUCAGACUCCCUCCCCUCCUCAGUUUAAAGAUACGCCUGCGGCCCCUGUAGAGGAAACUCCCAUGGUGACAGGUCCACAGUCCCAGCUCCAGCCAUACUACCCACAGGCCUACCCCUACGACCCACAGCCCUACCCCUACGACCCACAGCCCUACCCCUACGACCCACAGCCCUACCCCUACGACCCAAUCACAACACAGCUACUGCCCAACCUGGAAACACUCACACCUGGGGAACAGGCACAGAUAAUGUCUAGGUUCCAUAUUAUUCCGUCAGUCUCUCAGGACAGUCAGACGGUGUUCCCCACCUGGCAGUUAAGCGGUGCAGUGGGAGGAGCCCAGUCUCAGUCGUCGUCUCUGAGUUCUGAAGAGGAAGCUUCACCUCCUGUGGUCUACACCAGGGUGAUGUUGCCUCCAGUGGUGCCAGCGUAUCAGAGCCAGGGGCUGAGUGUGGACCCUAACCCUGAACCUUCAGUCUUAACCCCUGACCCCUUACCUCUGACCCCUGACCCCGGCCACGCCCACCUGGGGAACCCCCCGACUGUAGCCCCGAUGGCCUCGGGGGGGCAGGGGACCCCCAAACCUGAGGUGGGGGGUGCGGUAGGGGUACAGAUGAAGAGUGCCGUGGAGAAGGGUACAGAGGGGGCUGUGGGGGUGAGAGAGGGGGGAGGGGUACAGAUAAAGAGUGGAGGUGCAGGUGACCCCUGUCCCUUGGAGAAGAGCCCCCCAGUAAGAGAGACCCAAACUUCUACCCAUUCCGAUCCUCGCCUCACACAUCGUCUCACCCCCAGGCAGCUCCCCAUCCGAGCUAGGAGCGAUGGGGGGAGAGCCUGAGGAGGACGGGGUUUUCUUUCCCUCUCCUACCUCUCCUACGUAUCCUCCUCUCUCCCCCUCCUACCUCUCUCCCUCUCCUCCUCUCUCCCCUCUCCCCUCUCUCACUCUCCUACCUCUCCUCCUCUCCUCCUCUCCUCCUCUCCUCCUCUCCUCCUCUCUCCCUCUCUUCCUCUCCUCCUCUCUCCCUCUCCUCCUCUCCUCCUCUCUCCCUCUCCUCCUCUCUCACUAUCCUACCUCUCCCCCUCUCUCCCUCUCCUCCUCUCCUCCUCUCUCACUCUCCUCCUCUCCUCCUCUCUCCCUCUCCUCCUCUCUCACUAUCCUACCUCUCCCCCUCUCUCCCUCUCCUCCUCUCCUCUCUCUCUCCUCUCCUUCCUCUCUCCCUCUCCUCCUCUCUCCCUCUCCUCCUCUCUCACUCUCCUACCUCUCCUCCUCUCCUCCUUUCUCCCUCUCCUCCUCUCCUCCUCUCUCCCUCUACUCCUCUCUCCCUCUCUCACUCUCCUCCUCUCUCCCUCUCUCACUCUCCUACCUCUUUCCCCUCAAAAGGUUCCAUUGUAUUGUCCUACAGUUUGUCAUAUGUAUAGUUGUCCCUUGUUCUUGGUCAAGUGAUCAUUUUCUGACAUGUUGAUAUGAAACCCCUGGAUCUUAAUAAACAACUUAACACUACUGGACUCUACUGGACUCAUGUCUUAAUAAACAACUUAACACUACUGGACUCUACUGGACUCAUGUCUUAAUAAACAACUUAACACUACUGGACUCUACUGGAUUCAUGUCUUAAUAAACAACUUAAC